AGAAUCAACGCUGGCGGCGUGCCUAACACAUGCAAGUCGAACGAGAAAGUGGAGCAAUCCAUGAGUAAAGUGGCGACCGGGUGAGUAACACGUGACUAACCUACCUUCGAGUGGGGGAUAACAUCGGGAAACCGAUGCUAAUACCGCAUAACAUCGCAAGAUCAAAGCAGCAAUGCGCUUGAAGAGGGGGUCGCGGCUGAUUAGCUAGUUGGCGGGGUAAUGGCCCACCAAGGCGAAGAUCGGUAUCCGG
This 250-nucleotide ribosomal RNA is filed under the name uncultured bacterium. RNAcentral's name for it is "partial small subunit ribosomal RNA". It matches the Rfam family "Bacterial small subunit ribosomal RNA", at positions 26 to 290 of the family's 1533-position model. The record is from RNAcentral.